UACGUAGGGUGCAAGCGUUGUCCGGAAUUAUUGGGCGUAAAGAGCUCGUAGGCGGUUUGUCGCGUCUGCUGUGAAAAACCCGAGGCUCAACCUCGGGCCUGCAGUGGGUACGGGCAGACUAGAGUGCGGUAGGGGAGAUUGGAAUUCCUGGUGUAGCGGUGGGAUGCGCAGAUAUCAGGAGGAACACCAAUGGCGAAGGCAGAUCUCUGGGCCGUAACUGACGCUGAGGAGCGAAAGCAUGGGGAGCGAACAGG
This 254-nucleotide ribosomal RNA is filed under the name uncultured bacterium. RNAcentral's name for it is "partial 16S ribosomal RNA". It matches the Rfam family "Bacterial small subunit ribosomal RNA", at positions 524 to 776 of the family's 1533-position model. The record is from RNAcentral.